This 93-nucleotide ribosomal RNA is filed under the name Anoxybacillus ayderensis. Lineage: Bacteria; Bacillati; Bacillota; Bacilli; Caryophanales; Anoxybacillaceae. The record is from RNAcentral. RNAcentral also lists the same sequence under 1 other name.
ACACCCGUUCCCAUCCCGAACACGGAAGUUAAGCUCUCCAGCGCCGAUGGUAGUUGGCGGGACACCGCCUGCGAGAGUAGGACGUUGCCGGGC